This 400-nucleotide long non-coding RNA is filed under the name Physcomitrium patens. RNAcentral describes it as "long non-coding RNA (PPAT_LNC010613)". Lineage: Eukaryota; Viridiplantae; Streptophyta; Bryopsida; Funariales; Funariaceae. The record is from RNAcentral.
UAUAAAUGAAACAAAAUAAUGAAAUUAGACAAUAGUUUGAUACUUGAGUGAUAUUUCUUGACUUUAUAAGGAGGUAGAUUUAAUCAUGUUUAAAGUUGGACAAAGCUUGUAAGUUUGCAUCACCUCUAAAAGAAGUGCCAAAAGAUCAUCUUUGAUUUCUUCAAAAAGAUCUUAGAAGAACUUGAUGGAAUUCCAUCUGCUCUUGCUACCAUUUCUUUAAAUAAAUUGAUAAUUGUAAUUCUCAAUCUUAUAUCAAAGGUUGUACUAUGAAUUUUUUAUUUUGUAAUAAUGUCAUUUUAACCAAAUGCUAAAAAAGAAAUUUAAUCUUAUCAUGUCAUUAGUUGACUUCCUUGUCUCAAAUAUAUAAACAAGUGUAAUAAUUAUUAACAAAAAUUUGAUU